CCCCUUCUAAAAGCACUCCAUCUGCCUGUGUCAGUGGCUGAGCGAGUUGUCGUGGAAGGGAAAACUAAACUCAUCACUAGUGGGUGAGAAGGCAGUGAUUUGUACUGUUAAAUCUCAAUUUGUGAUGAUACAAAC
Scleropages formosus (Asian bonytongue) is the source of this 135-nucleotide small nucleolar RNA. Lineage: Eukaryota; Metazoa; Chordata; Actinopteri; Osteoglossiformes; Osteoglossidae. The record is from Ensembl.